RNAcentral lists this ribosomal RNA (465 nucleotides) under uncultured bacterium. RNAcentral describes it as "partial 16S ribosomal RNA". It matches the Rfam family "Bacterial small subunit ribosomal RNA", at positions 339 to 795 of the family's 1533-position model. The record is from RNAcentral.
CUACGGGGUGCUGCAGUGGGGAAUAUUGGACAAUGGGGGAAACCCUGAUCCAGCAAUGCCGCGUGUGUGAAGAAGGCCUGCGGGUUGUAAAGCACUUUCGGUUGGGAGGACUGCUUCUAGCACUAAUAUUGUUGGAAGUUGACGUUACCUUCAGAAGAAGCACCGGCUAACUCCGUGCCAGCAGCCGCGGUAAUACGGAGGGUGCAAGCGCUAAUCGGAAUUACUGGGCGUAAAGCGCGCGUAGGCGGCUAGAUCAGUCGGGUGUGAAAGCCCCGGGCUUAACCUGGGAACUGCAUCCGAUACUGUCUAGCUUGAGUACAGGAGAGGAGAGUGGAAUUCCACAUGUAGCGGUGAAAUGCGUAGAUAUGUGGAGGAACACCAAUGGCGGAGGCAGCUCUCUGGCCUGAUACUGACGCUGAGGUGCGAAAGCGUGGGGAGCAAACAGGGUUAGAUACCCGGGUAGUC